GUGGCUGUUCUUUAACUUGAUGUGAGAUUGUUUUGGAUGGUAGGUAAAAAUGGGAACUAGGUUCCAAUCAUUCUUGCUCGUGUUCUUGCUUUCAUGUUUAAUCCUCAUAUCCACUGCCUUGUGUGAGCGGAAAGGUGAUGGGACGAUUAGAAUUGGAUUGAAGAAGAGGAAACUAGACCGGAGCAACAGGCUAGCUUCUCAGCUUUUUUUGAAAAACCGAGGGUCUUGGUCUCCCAAAGACUAUUUUCGCCUGAACGAUGCAAAUGCGGAUAUGGUUCCGCUGAAAAAUUAUUUGGAUGCUCAAUACUAUGGUGACAUUACCAUUGGUACUCCACCUCAGAAGUUCACUGUGAUCUUUGAUACUGGUAGCUCCAAUCUCUGGAUACCAUCUACUAAAUGUUACCUAUCGGUACGCAUUGGUGGUUAAUUUUUUCUUGAUGCAUACUAAUUGUGAAAAUGAUAUUGUAAACAAAACAAAAUAUCUCUGUUUAAUGUUUUUCAGGUUGCUUGUUAUUUCCACUCCAAGUACAAGGCUAGCCAGUCAUCGUCAUACAGAAAGAACGGUUUGUUCUCUCUGUUAAUCUUGUCAUUUGAUUCUUGAGCUUCGGUACUUUGAUGUAUCUUGAUAACUAUUCAAGAAAGGGAUACAUUUAGCGCCAGUCUUUUGAUACGUUUGCAGAUAGUUUUUGACGAUAAAAAUCCUUGUCAUUACAGGAAAACCCGCGUCUAUCCGCUAUGGGACAGGUGCUAUUUCUGGUUACUUUAGCAAUGAUGAUGUUAAAGUUGGUGAUAUCGUUGUCAAGGAGCAGGUAAAAACGAUUCAUCCACGUACAUAUCUCAGAAUAUUCUUGUGAGUUUACUCCUUUUCUUGUUUUCAUAUCACCACAGGAAUUCAUAGAGGCUACUACUGAGCCUGGUAUAACCUUCUUGCUGGCAAAGUUUGAUGGUAUCCUCGGUUUGGGUUUCAAAGAGAUUUCUGUCGGAAAUUCAACUCCGGUUUGGUACGAAAACACUUUCUUUUUGUUUUAAUCAUUUGAUCCAUUACCUGAUUAAAGAAUUGAUGUGAAACUUGAAUUCUGAAUGAAGAAUCUAUAUGAUGUGUGUAGGUAUAACAUGGUAGAAAAAGGUUUGGUUAAGGACCCGGUCUUUUCGUUCUGGCUUAACCGUAACCCGCAAGAUCAAGAAGGUGGUGAGAUUGUUUUUGGGGGAGUCGACCCAAAACACUUCAAAGGAGAGCAUACUUAUGUUCCUGUGACACAUAAAGGUUACUGGCAGUUUGACAUGGGUGAUCUCCAAAUUGCUGGCAAACCUACAGGUAAGUAAGGUUUUGAGAUGUUUCAGUUUCAACAUGUUGAGUACUUAAAAUAUAAUUUGACAUCUUAAUUUCUAUGUAAUGUAGGAUAUUGUGCUAAAGGUUGUUCUGCUAUUGCUGAUUCCGGAACUUCUCUGCUCACCGGUCCAUCGGUGAGAAAGAGUUUGCUGAAAAUUUGGUAGAUUGUGCACUACUUAGCACCUGAAACAUGCGGAAUAGUUAUAUUUGCUUUUGCAUUUGCUUGUUUAGACUGUCAUCACGAUGAUCAAUCAUGCGAUAGGAGCACAAGGAAUCGUAAGCCGUGAAUGCAAGGCUGUGGUGGAUCAGUACGGAAAAACCAUGUUGAAUUCUCUUCUAGCUCAGGUUUAAAUCACUGCUCAUGACACAUUCAACUUAUCUAUCUAUAAGCAAUACAAUCUUGAAUUUUACAUCACUUGCUUGCAGGAGGAUCCGAAGAAGGUAUGCUCACAAAUUGGAGUCUGCGCUUAUGAUGGUACACACAGUGUGAGGUCAGUACUGACAUAAUCCAAUCAAAAAAAUAUGUCAGCAUAAAACUUAAAAUUGCUUCAUGUCGCUCUGCAGUAUGGACAUCCAGUCAGUUGUAGAUGACGGAACAUCGGGUCUUUUAAACCAAGCGAUGUGCAGUGCUUGCGAAAUGGCAGCCGUGUGGAUGGAGAGCGAAUUGACUCAGAAUCAAACACAAGAACGCAUACUCGCUUAUGCCGCUGAGGUGAGUUUUGAGAGUGUCUUGAGGCCUUAUUUUGGACAAACAUGUUAAGACUCUAAUCUCUGUAAAAAUCUGUAUAGCUAUGUAACCAUAUACCAACCAAAAAUCAACAAUCAGCAGUGGACUGUGAGAGGGUUUCGUCGAUGCCUAUAGUCUCAUUCUCAAUUGGCGGCAGAACCUUUGAUCUCUCUCCUCA
Molecule: long non-coding RNA, 2235 nt
Filed under: Arabidopsis lyrata
Lineage: Eukaryota; Viridiplantae; Streptophyta; Magnoliopsida; Brassicales; Brassicaceae
Description: long non-coding RNA (ALYR_LNC001468)
Source: RNAcentral